Molecule: ribosomal RNA, 562 nt
Filed under: uncultured Colletotrichum
Lineage: Eukaryota; Fungi; Ascomycota; Sordariomycetes; Glomerellales; Plectosphaerellaceae
Description: LSU rRNA
Rfam family: Eukaryotic large subunit ribosomal RNA
Source: RNAcentral
AAACCAACAGGGAUUGCCCCAGUAACGGCGAGUGAAGGGGCAACAGCUCAAAUUUGAAAUCUGGCCCCAGGCCCGAGUUGUAAUUUGCAGAGGAUGCUUUUGGCGCGGUGCCUUCCGAGUUCCCAGGAACGGGACGCCAUAGAGGGUGAGAGCCCCGUACGGUUGGACACCAAGCCUUUGUAAAGCUCCUUCGACGAGUCGAGUAGUUUGGGAAUGCUGCUCUAAAUGGGAGGUACAUUUCUUCUAAAGCUAAAUAUUGGCCAGAGACCGAUAGCGCACAAGUAGAGUGAUCGAAAGUUGAAAAGCACUUUGAAAAGAGGGUUAAACAGCACGUGAAAUUGUUAAAAGGGAAGCGCUUGUGACCAGACUUGCGUCCGGUGAAUCACCCAGCUCUCGCGGCUGGGGCACUUCGCCGGCACAGGCCAGCAUCAGCUUGCCGUCGGGGACAAAAGCUUCAGGAACGUGGCUCCUCUCGGGGAGUGUUAUAGCCUGUUGCAUAAUACCCUUCGGCGGGCUGAGGUACGCGCUCCGCAAGGAUGCUGGCGUAAUGGUCAUCAGCGAC